This 468-nucleotide ribosomal RNA is filed under the name uncultured bacterium. RNAcentral describes it as "partial 16S ribosomal RNA". It matches the Rfam family "Bacterial small subunit ribosomal RNA", at positions 28 to 507 of the family's 1533-position model. The record is from RNAcentral.
GAUGAACGCUGGCGGCGUGCCUAACACAUGCAAGUCGAACGGAAAGGCCCUGCUUUUGUGGGGUGCUCGUGUGGCGAGGGGGUGAGUAACACGUGAGUAUCCUGUCCUUGUCUUUGGGAUAACUUCAGGGAAAUGGGGCUAUUAUCGGAUAGGAGCUCUUGAUGCGCGGGGGGGGUUGGAAAGUUUCGGCGGUUGGGGCUGGACUCGCGGCUUACGAGCUUGUUGGUGGGGUAGUGGCAUACCAAGCUUUCGACGGGUAGGCGGCCUGAGAGAGUGACCGGCGUCCAUAGUACUAAGAGACGGCCCAGUCUGCUACGUGAGGCAACAGUGGAGAGUAUUACACAAUGAGCGCAAGUCUGAUACAACAGCGCCGCGUGCGUAAAGACGUCCUUCUGGUUAUAAACCGCUGCCGCCUGUGACGAAGCGGGAGUGACGGUAAUGGAUAAAAAAGCACCGGCUAACUACGUG